GUGCCAGCCGCCGCGGUAAUACCGGCAGCCCGAGUGAUGGCCGAUCUUAUUGGGCCUAAAGCGUCCGUAGCUGGCUGCGCAAGUCCGUCGGGAAAUCCACGCGCUCAACGCGUGGGCGUCCAGCGGAAACUGCCUGGCUUGGGGCCGGAGGACUCGAGGGGUACGUCUGGGGUAGGAGUGAAAUCCUGUAAUCCUGGACGGACCGCCGGUAGCGAAAGCGCCUCGAGAGGACGGACCCGACGGUGAGGGACGAAAGCCAAGGCCUCGAACCGGAUUAGAUACCCUUGUAGUCC
RNAcentral lists this ribosomal RNA (293 nucleotides) under uncultured bacterium. RNAcentral's name for it is "partial 16S ribosomal RNA". It matches the Rfam family "Archaeal small subunit ribosomal RNA", at positions 455 to 747 of the family's 1478-position model. The record is from RNAcentral.